RNAcentral lists this ribosomal RNA (253 nucleotides) under uncultured bacterium. RNAcentral's name for it is "partial 16S ribosomal RNA". It matches the Rfam family "Bacterial small subunit ribosomal RNA", at positions 524 to 776 of the family's 1533-position model. The record is from RNAcentral.
GACGUAGGGCGCGAGCGUUGUCCGGAUUUAUUGGGCGUAAAGAGCUCGUAGGCGGCUUGUUGCGUCGACUGUGAAAACCCGCGGCUUAACCGCGGGCUUGCAGUUGAUACGGGCAGGCUAGAGUUCGGUAGGGGAGAUCGGAAUUCCUGGUGUAGCGGUGAAAUGCGCAGAUAUCAGGAGGAACACCGGUGGCGAAGGCGGAUCUCUGGGCCGAUACUGACGCUGAGGAGCGAAAGCGUGGGGAGCGAACAGG